GAGUUUGAUCGUGGCUCAGAACAAACGCUGGCGGCGUGCCUAAUACAUGCAAGUCGAACGAGGAAAGCUUUCGGGUGAGUACUAGUGGCGCACGGGUGAGGAAUAUAUGGGUAAUCUGCCCUCGAGUCGGGGAUAACCAGUCGAAAGAUUGGCUAAUACCGGAUAAGACCACAGGAUCUGCGGAUCUAGGGGUUAAAGGUUUUUCGCUUGAGGAUGAGCCCAUAUGGGAUUAGCUAGUUGGUAGGGUAAUGGCCUACCAAGGCUACGAUCCCUAACUGGUCUUAGAGGAUGAUCAGUCACACUGGAACUGAGACACGGCCCAGACUCCUACGGGAGGCAGCAGUGGGGAAUAUUGGACAAUGGGCGCAAGCCUGAUCCAGCCAUGCCGCGUGAGUGAUGAAGGCCUUAGGGUUGUAAAGCUCUUUUACCAGGGAAGAUAAUGACGGUACCUGGAGAAUAAAGCCCCGGCUAACUUCGUGCCAGCCGCCGCAGU
RNAcentral lists this ribosomal RNA (493 nucleotides) under uncultured delta proteobacterium. RNAcentral's name for it is "bacterial SSU rRNA". It matches the Rfam family "Bacterial small subunit ribosomal RNA", at positions 9 to 521 of the family's 1533-position model. Lineage: Bacteria; Deltaproteobacteria. The record is from RNAcentral.